UGGGGAAUCUUGGACAAUGGGGGCAACCCUGAUCCAGCCAUGCCGCGUGAGUGAUGAAGGCCUUAGGGUCGUAAAGCUCUUUCGCCUGUGAAGAUAAUGACGGUAGCAGGUAAAGAAACCCCGGCUAACUCCGUGCCAGCAGCCGCGGUAAUACGGAGGGGGUUAGCGUUGUUCGGAAUUACUGGGCGUAAAGCGCACGUAGGCGGACCAGAAAGUUGGGGGUGAAAUCCCGGGGGCUCAACCCCGGAACUGCCUCCAAAACUAUUGGUCUAGAGUUCGAGAGAGGUGAGUGGAAUUCCAAGUGUAGAGGUGAAAUUCGUAGAUAUUUGGAGGAACACCAGUGGCGAAGGCGGCUCACUGGCUCGAUACUGACGCUGAGGUGCGAAAGUGUGGGGAGCAAACAGGAUUAGAUACCCUGGUAGUCCACACCGUAAAACGAUGAAUGCCAGUCGUCGGGGUAGCAUGCUAUUCGGUGACACACCUAACGGAUUAAGCAUU
Molecule: ribosomal RNA, 498 nt
Filed under: uncultured bacterium
Lineage: Bacteria
Description: bacterial SSU rRNA
Rfam family: Bacterial small subunit ribosomal RNA
Source: RNAcentral